AACGAAGAAGGAGAAGAUGAUCCUGAAGGAGAAGAAGCAGAACCUGAGCGUUUAAGGAAAUAUUAAGCAUAUAAUUGUAUAUAGUUAUUUAGUAUAUACAGCUGUAAUUAUGUAUAGUAUAAAUACUCUUUGUACAGUACAUUUUCAGAUUAAUGAGAAAUUAUCUUCUUCUUUAUCUCUUAAUCUAAUAUGGUAUCAGAGCUUAUUCUUCCUUCCGCAACAAGAUUUCUCAUUCAGAUCCUCAUCAUCGAGCUUCGAUCUCCAUGAUCUGAGCUCAUUUUUCUUCUUCUUGACCUUCGUUUAUCAUAGAUCGGGCUUUGUUUCAUCUUUUUUGAGCUCCGAUUGCUCUUUUUCAUCUUCUGUUGCUCGCGUGUUUCUGGUUUCGUUUCAAUGGCGGCUCCGACUCGCGAUUCUUAUGACAAUCCUUAUUUUCUCACUAAUAAUGAUCAUUCCGGUUUGGUUUUGGUCUCCGAUCGUCUCACCGGAGCUGGUGAUUUUGGUUCGUGGCAUCAAUCGAUGAUUAUGGCGCUAAAUGGACGUAAUAAACUCUGUUUUGUUGAUGGUAGUCUCCCGAAGCCAGAUGAUGCUAAUCGUGAUGCUGCGGCCUGGUCCAGAGUUAACGAUGUGGUACGUUCUUGGUUGAUGAACUCCGUUUCUAAAACAAUUGGUCAGAGUGUGUUGUAUGUGAAAACUGCUCAUGGAAUUUGGCAAAAGCUACUACAACGUUUUAAGCAGAAUAAUGUCCCUCGCCUUUAUCGGAUUGAACAGAAACUUGCAGGUCUUCGUCAAGGAUCCAUGGAUGUUAAUACUUUUUACACCAAAUUAGUCACCAUUUGGGAAGAAGUUAAGAGUGCACAGGAUUUUCCUGUUUGUCAAUGUGGUGGUUGUGAGUGUGAAAUUGAUCGCAAAUGGAUGGAUUUGUUUGAAAGGAACUUUGUGAUUAAGUUUCUCUUUGGUUUAAAUGAUUCUUAUGAACAUGUCAGAGAGUCAAUUGUGAUGAAAGAUCCUUUACCAGACUUGGAAAAGACAUUGAACUUGGUUAUUCAGCAUGAGCAUCAGCAGGAAAUCAAGCAAGUACCUCAGUCUGGUUCAGUGGUGUUUCAAAUGAGUUCUCAAAAUUCUCAGCCUUCUUUUGAUUCAAAUUAUCAGGCUCCAGUUCCUGACAAUUGUUCAGGAUAUAAUGAAGUUGUGGGUGCUGUUUCAGGAGGAUUCAAGCCUAGGCAGAGACCAGUGUGUACCUACUGUGGUUUACAAGGACACAUUGUUACUAAAUGUUACAAACUGCAUGGUUACCCUCCUGGUUACAAGACAUCUGCUCAAUCUUAUGGAAAUCAACAAAAUUUUGGAUCUUCUUCUCAGUCUUAUGGAGUACCACAGAAUGCUCCUUCUGUUUUCGCUCCUAAACAGUUUCAGCCGCGUCCUCCUGUUUCCUCUUCACAGCAACAAUUUGGACAACAAUUUAACAAUCAGCCAAGGAUGCCUAAUCCAAAAGGUUCCAGAGAUAAUGUCGUUGGCAAUGUUAUUACGAAUUCUCCUGCAGUUCAAGAUCAUUUUCAUCAGGUCUCAAAUGCAUUGGCUCAAUUAUCUCCAGAACAAAUUGAACAGUUGGCUUCUCAACUUACCAAUAAAGCUAGUUGUCAGAUGCCAAGUAUAAAUGAGUCUCCUGGUGUCAAUUAUGCCUCUACAUCUGCAGGUAAUCUCAUUUGCACAACACUAAAGGAAUCCUGCCUUAAUUUUACUGCUUGGAUUAUUGAUUCUGGAGCAACAACACAUGUUUGUUGCAACUUAGGUUUGUUUGCUGAUAUUAAUAGUAUCUCUGAAACCACUGUUAAACUACCAAACAGUACUCAGAUUAUUAUAAAUCAAUCUGGUACUGUUAGGCUAUCUGAUAAACUUCUUCUUCAUAAUGUUCUUUUUGUUCCUUCUUUUCAUCUCAAUCUUAUUAGUGUAAGCUCCCUUCUUCAAGAAUGUGCAUACUCUGUUAAUUUCUUUCCUUCCUUUUGCACUAUUCAGGAGUUUACUCGGGGCUUGAUGAUUGGUAAAGGUCGGUUACAAAAUAAACUCUACUUUCUGGAUUUAGAGUCUUCACCAUCAUCACAGUCUCCAUCUUCAUCUCUUAUUUGCAAUCUCUCUGUUCCUGAGUCUAGUUCUCUUUGGCAUUCAAGGCUUGGUCAUCCAUCUUUCCCUAAGAUUCAAGUUUUAGCUGAAGAUCUCUCUAUUUCUAAAGCAAAGCUCAAAGACUGGUCCCAUUGCAAGACUUGUCAUUUAGCUAAACAAAAACGUUUAUCUUUUCCUUCUCUUAAUAAUCUUUCUCAGAAACCUUUUGAUCUUGUUCACAUGGAUGUUUGGGGUCCUUUCUCUGUUAUUUCUCAUGAAGGUUUUCGAUAUUUUCUUACUCUUGUCGAUGAUUGUACUCGUGUCACUUGGAUUUAUCUCUUGAAAAAUAAAAAUGAUGUUUUACAAGUUUUUCCUUCUUUUCUCAAUUCUAUUGAAACACAACAUGCUACUAAAGUAAAGGCUAUUCGUUCUGAUAAUGCUCCUGAAUUAUCUUUUACAUCACUUCUUCAAUCUGAAGGCAUCUUUCACUACUUUUCUUGUGUUGAUACACCACAACAAAAUUCUGUGGUAGAAAGAAAACAUCAACAUAUUCUAAAUGUUGCUAGAGCACUUCUUUUUCAAUCAAAUCUUCCUACUACAUAUUGGAGUGAAUGUAUAAGAACUUCUGUUUAUCUCAUUAACAGAACUCCUUCUCCUUUAUUGCAAAACAAAACUCCUUAUGAUCUUCUCAUGAACAAAAAGCCUAAAUACUCUCAUUUAAAAAAUUUUGGUUGCCUUUGUUAUGCCUCUACUUAUCCAAAGGAUAGAAACAAAUUUUCUCCUCGAGCAGAAGCUUCUGUUUUUAUUGGCUAUCCCUCUGGUUACAAGGGCUAUAAAGUCCUCAAUCUUGAAACUCACUCAAUCUCUAUUUCCAGAAAUGUCAUUUUUCAUGAAGACAUAUAUCCUUUUCAGUCUUCUGAGCUUCCUUCUUCUACUUUAGAUCUUUUCUCCCCAAGCAUUCUUCCUCUUCCUAUCCCAGAUACAUCUCUUUCACCUCCUAUUUCCAUUUCUUCUGAAGUUUUAUCAAAUAGUAGUGGUUCUUCAGGGGAGUCAGAGAAUACUAUUCCUGUUAAUGCAAACAGGCCUAAGAGAAAUACUCGUGUGCCAUCAUACCUUUCGGAUUAUCACUGCAAUUUGGUUCAGAAUAUACCAACUCCCAGUGGUAAUACAGCCCAUCCUUUGUCAUCUGUUAUUGACUACUCGAAGCUGAAUCUGCACUAUCAGCAGUUUAUACUGAACAUUUCAACAGAGUCAGAACCAAAGACUUUUCUUGAAGCUGUCAGAUCUGAAAAAUGGCAUGCACCUAUGAAUGAAGAACUUCAGACUUGUGUUGAUACAGGCACUUUCUCUGUUGUCUCUUUACCUGAAGGGAAACAGCCUAUAGGUUGCAGAUGGGUAUAUCGCAUUAAGCAUAAUGCUGAUGGAACAGUUGACAGAUACAGAGCCCGUUUGGUAGCAAAAGGUUUCACACAGCAAGAGGGUGUGGAUUAUAUUGACACAUUUUCUCCAGUCGCUAAGCUUGUUACUGUCAAGUUACUACUGGACUUAGCUGCUAAACAUGGUUGGUCUCUGACUCAAAUGGAUGUUACCAACGCUUUUUUACAUGGAGAUUUAGAAGAAGAGAUAUAUAUGGACUUGCCUCCGGGUUAUACUCCACCACCAGGUCAAGUACUUCCUCCAAAUGCUGUCUGGAAACUUCAUAAAUCUCUGUAUGGCCUCAAGCAGGCUUCUAGGCAAUGGAACAAGAAAUUCUCUGAAGUACUGUUGAGAGAUGGCUUUGUUCAAUCAGAGUCUGAACAUACCUUGUUUGUCAAAUGUGUCAACCAUACUUUUAUUGCUUUAUUAGUAUAUGUUGAUGACAUUUUGAUUGCAAGUAAUAGUGACAUGGCUGUAUCUGAUCUCAAGGCCAUUUUAGCUGCUUCUUUCAAAAUCAAGGACCUAGGUCCUGCCAAGUACUUUCUUGGUCUUGAGAUAGCACGAAAUCAGUCAGGGAUCUCUGUGUGUCAACGUAAAUACGCUCUUGACUUGUUGGAUAGUGUUGGUCUUCUUGGCAGUAAACCAGUUGCUACACCAAUGGAUUCAACGAUUCAGUUAACUACAGAGAGUGGGGAUCUAUUACCUGAUGCUACUGUUUAUCGAGCUCUCAUUGGUAAACUUCUAUAUCUUACUAUAACCAGGGCUGAUAUUAGUUUUGCAGUUCACAAAUUGAGCCAGUUUUUGGCUCAACCAAGGACUGAUCAUCUUGCUGCAGCUCACCGUAUAGUCAGAUAUUUAAAGGGUGAUCCAGGCAGAGGUCUUUUCUAUUCUGUUCAGUCUGAGAUCAGGCUGCAGGCUUUCUCAGAUUCUGAUUGGGGCACAUGUCAAGAUACCAGAAGAUCUACUACAGGUUACUGUGUUUUUCUUGGCAAUUCUCUGAUCUCCUGGAAAGCCAAGAAACAACAAACUGCUUCCAGAAGUAGUGCUGAAGCUGAAUACAGGGCCUUAGCAGACACAACUUGUGAACUUCUUUGGUUAAGCCAACUUCUCAGAGAUCUUCACAUCAAGGUUACUGGUCCUGCAAACCUUUACUGUGACAGCACUGCAGCGAUACAUAUUGCUUCAAACUCAGUCUUUCAUGAACGCACCAAACACAUAGAAAUAGAUUGCCACAUUGUUCGUGAUCGGUUGCGAGCUGGAUUUCUGAACUUGCUCCAUGUGACUACAGAUAAUCAGCUUGCCGAUUUGUUCACAAAAGCUUUGCCUCCAAAGACAUUCAAGAUGCUCAUGUCUCGUUAUGCUUUCUCAAGUCUCUUUCUUCCGGCUUGAAGACUUCGACUUGAGGGAGGGUAUUAAGCAUAUAAUUGUAUAUAGUUAUUUAGUAUAUACAGCUGUAAUUAUGUAUAGUAUAAAUACUCUUUGUACAGUACAUUUUCAGAUUAAUGAGAAAUUAUCCUCUUCUUUAUCUCUUAAUCUAAUAGGAAACUGUCCAAAAGCUUGUAACGGCUUAAACACGAGACGGAAAAUGGCGGAGAAAGGAGUAGCAGCGGCGACGGAUCGAGGUUUAUCGGAGAGGAGAGAGGAAGAAUCGUCGUGUAAAAUAACGCAAUCGACACGAACGACGACAUUCUCGACUUGAGGGAUUAAGGAAUGGAAUCUUUUGGAGACGACGGAGCAACGACCUAAGGCUUUGACGUCGCCGAUGUUGUUGACGAUGAGGAGGAGGAUUGAGUCAGGGAGGUGAUCGAAGUGGUCGAUUUGUUGUGGUUGGGGAUGGAUUCGAGAGAGGAGUGGAUCUUAUGAACGGAGAAUUAUCGCCAUUGAUGAGAGAAUUCAGAUCUUUGAGAAGAGAAGAAGAUAACGCUUAGAGAGAGAGAAACGAAUCUAAAGGAGGAAGAGUAUACGGUGCAUAAUCGCAAAGGAGGUCCUAAAUGGCAUGAUUGUAAAUAAAAUAGUUUGUCGAGGGUUUGGAAGUCACCCAAACAGUAGUGCAUAGUAAAACAUGUGGAUUUUUCCAAUUGUAAAUAGUCUCUGUACUACUUUCCCUAUUAUGUUUCACAUAAACGUACUAAUUUGCAACAUAUCUC
Molecule: long non-coding RNA, 5660 nt
Filed under: Arabidopsis lyrata
Lineage: Eukaryota; Viridiplantae; Streptophyta; Magnoliopsida; Brassicales; Brassicaceae
Description: long non-coding RNA (ALYR_LNC000363)
Source: RNAcentral